GAUGAACGCUGGCGGCGUGCCUAAUACAUGCAAGUCGAGCGAACGGACGCGAAGCUUGCUUCUUUGACGUUAGCGGCGGGCGGGUGAGUAACACGUGGAUAACCUACCUAUAUGUCUGGGAUAACUUCGGGACACCGGCGCUAACACCGUAUAAUCUCUUGAUCCGCGUGGUUCAAAAGUGAAAGACGGUCUUGCGGUCUCUUAUAGCUGGUUCCGCGCUGCAUUGGAUGGUUGGUACGUUAACGGCCUACCACGGCAACGAUGCAUAGCCGACGUGAGAGGGUGGUCGGCGACACGGGAGCUUGGACACGGUCAAGACUCCUACGGGAGGCAGCAGUCGGGAAUGUUCCGCAAUGGGCGAAAGCAUUACGCAGCAACGCCGCGUCAGUGAUGACGGUCUUCGGAUCGGAAAACUCUGUUAUUAGGGAAAAACAUAUGUGUAAGGAAAUGUGCACAGCUUGACGGUACCUAAUCAGAAAGCAACGGCUAACUACGUG
RNAcentral lists this ribosomal RNA (497 nucleotides) under uncultured bacterium. RNAcentral's name for it is "partial 16S ribosomal RNA". It matches the Rfam family "Bacterial small subunit ribosomal RNA", at positions 28 to 507 of the family's 1533-position model. The record is from RNAcentral.